AUUGAACGCUGGCGGCAGGCUUAACACAUGCAAGUCGAGCGGGGUGAUGGUGCUUGCACUAUCACUUAGCGGCGGACGGGUGAGUAAUGCUUAGGAAUCUGCCUAUUAGUGGGGGACAACAUCUCGAAAGGGAUGCUAAUACCGCACACGUCCUACGGGAGAAAGCAGGGGAUCACUUGUGACCUUGCGCUAAUAGAUGAGCCUAAGUCGGAUUAGCUAGUUGGUGGGGUAAAGGCCUACCAAGGCGACGAUCUGUAGCGGGUCUGAGAGGAUGAUCCGCCACACUGGGACUGAGACACGGCCCAGACUCCUACGGGAGGCAGCAGUGGGGAAUAUUGGACAAUGGGGGGAACCCUGAUCCAGCCAUGCCGCGUGGGUGAAGAAGGCCUUAUGGUUGUAAAGCACUUUAAGCGAGGAGGAGGCUCUUUUGGUUAAUACCCAAGAUGAGUGGACGUUACUCGCAGAAUAAGCACCGGCUAACUCUGUGCCAGCCGCCGCAGUAA
Molecule: ribosomal RNA, 503 nt
Filed under: uncultured bacterium
Lineage: Bacteria
Description: partial 16S ribosomal RNA
Rfam family: Bacterial small subunit ribosomal RNA
Source: RNAcentral